ACACCUCAACUCUCACGGUUCACCCGUGAUGAGCUUGGACUUCUGGAGGUUUUGCUGGCCUGUGGACCGGCUCCUCUCAAAUGAAUCAGCUUACCAGUGUUUGGUGGCGCCAUGGGUGUGAUAACUAUCUACGCUUGCGGCUGUUCGCCAUGUAACCUUCAGCGAUGGGGGUUCGCUGGGGCUUACAAAUGUCUCUCCUCAGCGGAGACAGCUUUUUGAAC
RNAcentral lists this unclassified non-coding RNA (221 nucleotides) under uncultured Thelephora. Its description in RNAcentral is "sequence contains ITS2". The record is from RNAcentral. Lineage: Eukaryota; Fungi; Basidiomycota; Agaricomycetes; Thelephorales; Thelephoraceae.